GCAGCCUUUACAUGUGAAAAUGUGUUAGGAGAGGUAUACCAAACCCCAUCCACCAAAACACUGGAUCUAAAGAGGGGUGCAUGCGGAGGGCCUGCAUUGACAGUGUGAUAAACAGGACGACCUAGGGACGACCGCUGGGUCAACUCUUGUAGGCGAUUCUUGUGAAUGAAUUCCACAUGAAUAUAUCGACGCCGUCCUUUUUCAGUUUCAGAAAUGUUUGGUUGAGGAUUUUGAAUAAUCACAUGUUCGGCCAUUUUGAUGGACUGUUCAGAACUUUGAGUCACAGAAUUCACUUCGGCCAUUUUGAUGGGCUGUUCAGAACUUUGAGUCACAGUAUUCACUUCGGCCAUUUCGAUGGGCUGUUCAGAACAUUUAGUCACAGUAUUCACUUCGGCCAUUUCGAUGGGCUGUUCAGAACAUUUAGUCACAGUAUUCACUUCGGCCAUUUCGAUGGGCUGUUCAGAACAUUU
Molecule: unclassified non-coding RNA, 470 nt
Filed under: Hevea brasiliensis (rubber tree)
Lineage: Eukaryota; Viridiplantae; Streptophyta; Magnoliopsida; Malpighiales; Euphorbiaceae
Source: RNAcentral